UCCGGAUUUAUNGGGCGUAAAGGGAGCGCAGGCGGUCAGGAAAGUNUGGAGUAAAAGGCUAUGGCUCAACCAUAGUGUGNUCUGGAAACUGUCUGACUUGAGUGCAGAAGGGGAGAGUGGAAUUCCAUGUGUAGCGGUGAAAUGCGUAGAUAUAUGGAGGAACACCAGUGGCGAAAGCGGCUCUCUGGUCUGUCACUGACGCUGAGGCUCGAAAGCGUGGGUAGCGAACAGGAUUAGAUACCCUGGUAGUCCACGCCGUAAACGAUGAGUGCUAGGUGUUAGGCCCUUUCCGGGGCUUAGUGCCGGAGCUAACGCAAUAAGCACUCCGCCUGGGGAGUACGACCGCAAGGUUGAAACUCAAAGGAAUUGACGGGGGCCCGCACAAGCGGUGGAGCAUGUGGUUUAAUUCGAAGCAACGCGAAGAACCUUACCAGGUCUUGACAUCCCGAUGCUAUUCUUAGAGAUAGGAAGUUACUUCGGUACAUCGGAGACAGGUGGUGCAUGGUUGUCGUCAGCUCGUGUCGUGAGAUGUUGGGUUAAGUCCCGCAACGAGCGCAACCCUUAUUGUUAGUUGCCAUCAUUAAGUUGGGCACUCUAGCGAGACUGCCGGUAAUAAACCGGAGGAAGGUGGGGAUGACGUCAAAUCAUCAUGCCCCUUAUGACCUGGGCUACACACGUGCUAUAAUGGUCGGUACAACGAGUUGCGAGCCGGUGACGGCAAGCUAAUCUCUGAAAGCCGAUCUCAGUUCGGAUUGGAGGCUGCAACUCGCCUCCAUGAAGUCGGAAUCGCUAGUAAUCGCGGAUCAGCACGCCGCGGUGAAUACGUUCCCGGGCCUUGUACACACCGCCCGUCACACCACGAGAGUUUGUANCACCCG
Molecule: ribosomal RNA, 878 nt
Filed under: uncultured bacterium
Lineage: Bacteria
Description: bacterial SSU rRNA
Rfam family: Bacterial small subunit ribosomal RNA
Source: RNAcentral